GUGCUCACUUCGGCAGCACAUAUACUAAAAAUUGGAACAAUACAGACAAGAUUAGCACGGCCCCUGCUCAAGAAUGACACACAAAUCCGUGAAGCGUUCCGUAUUUCC
Small nuclear RNA from Monodon monoceros (narwhal), 108 nucleotides. The record is from Ensembl. NCBI's taxonomy places the organism in Eukaryota, Metazoa, Chordata, Mammalia, Artiodactyla, Monodontidae.